Molecule: long non-coding RNA, 1507 nt
Organism: Juglans regia (Persian walnut)
Lineage: Eukaryota; Viridiplantae; Streptophyta; Magnoliopsida; Fagales; Juglandaceae
Exons: 3
Source: RefSeq, a predicted model, not a curated record
UAUCAAACGACUUUCCAAGUUCAAUUAGUUCCUCCUCUGGGCACUCCGUUGGAAAACUCCCAAAAAUACUCAAACUUUAAUUUCCUUCUAGAAAAUCAAAAUUAGAACAAAAAGCUCAGACAGAUUCACGAUCGAAACAACUGGUCAUGGAUUCUUCCAGGUUCAAUAAAUUAACAAGAUUCACAACACUUCAGACCAAACUUACCAGAAAAUCUAAAAUAGAGAAGUGAGGGAAGGAGGGAGGCAAACCAUACAGCUCACAAACACUUCAGACUCAUGCCGAAAACUUGAUUUCAUCCGAGAUUAGUAAGGAGGGAGGGAGGGUUGCGACUUCGGGAGGGUUUGCAUUCCGUCGUGUCUGAGAAAGAUGUCCACUACUUUGGACCGCCUAAAUUAACAAUUGUAGGGGCAUCCCCAACUCGAUUAUGGCGCAUGGCUCGUACUCGAUCUAACUGCGGUAGUCUCAGAUGGCGCCACCGCUCUCCUCGAGAUGAUCCGCCACCGCCAGGAGGUGCGACGUUCGCCGAUCACUUUCAGUGCGAAGCCGUGGAAGAUGGUGGCUGAUUUGAGUAGGCAUGGACGAGAUCAGAGAAAGAUUCAAGGAUACGUGCAAGCUGGGAGGUAGGGAGGGUAGUUGCCCUGCCCUUUUACGCCCGUUGGCUUAAGGUAUAUAUAUAUAUAUAUAUAUAUAUAUAUAUAUAGUGGUCCGCAACUAAACGGCCUUCUGGAAACUAAAAAGAAAAUGAUCGUCCGGCCACAAUAAAGAAAACCAAUUAGAAAGAACCACGAUGACCCAUUUGGGUUUUGGGCGCCGAGGUUUAAGAAUUCAACCUGUAUAUUUCUCCGAUGAUCAAAUGCGCAUAUCUCAAAGCAUCAAAAGCACAUGACAAAACAGAGCAUUAAUCAGGGAUUAAAAAAAAACAUUAAUUCACACUGAACAGAUAGUGGCAAAGUACUUAUAUAUACUGCCAAAAAGGUUCAAGCCCCCCCCCCCCCCCAAAAAAAAACAAACUGGUAUCAUCAACGGCUAGGGGAGGCAGCGGCCGGCGCUGGGCCUUUGAACAGGUCUUUGAAGAUCUUCCCCUUGAUCGUAUUGGCUCGUGGAUGCGGAAGGUUGGCAAAGUUAGAGUCCGUCCGGCGGGGGCGGGGGCGGGGCUCGGAACCUGGACGGUCGCCGGGAUUUUCUCCGUCUUUUUCACUCAUACUUCACUCUCUGCUUCCCACCGGAAUCUGCAGGCUUGGAGUCAAAUCUCUCUCAGGAAGGCUCCAGUGAACUCAUCGCCGUCUCCCAUUUCAUCUCUCCUGUGUCUCCAUCUCCAUUUUCAUCUCCCCUCUUUAGCGUCGCCGAUCAUUGCCCAAUUCUUCUCCAAGUCUGGGCAUUCUUGUGGAUAUUUUUGUUAGUAUGACCCGGAAAUACCACUAUAUGAUGAGAAGAGAUUGAGAGGCGCAAGAGAAAUGUUGAGAGAGUCAUUGCAGUGUUAGUAAUUUCAAUGUCAUGGAUAUUUUG